GGGGGGGGCAAGCGUUGUUCGGAAUUACUGGGCGUAAAGGGCUCGUAGGCGGCCAACUAAGUCAGACGUGAAAUCCCUCGGCUUAACCGGGGAACUGCGUCUGAUACUGGAUGGCUUGAGUUCGGGAGAGGGAUGUGGAAUUCCAGGUGUAGCGGUGAAAUGCGUAGAUAUCUGGAGGAACACCGGUGGCGAAGGCGGCAUCCUGGACCGACACUGACGCUGAUGAGCGAAAGCCAGGGGAGCAAACGGGAUUAGAUACCCCGGUAGUCCUGGCCCUAAACGAUGAAUGCUUGGUGUGGCGGGUAUCGAUCCCUGCCGUGCCGAAGCUAACGCAUUAAGCAUUCCGCCUGGGGAGUACGGUCGCAAGGCUG
Molecule: ribosomal RNA, 371 nt
Filed under: uncultured bacterium
Lineage: Bacteria
Description: bacterial SSU rRNA
Rfam family: Bacterial small subunit ribosomal RNA
Source: RNAcentral